This 73-nucleotide transfer RNA is filed under the name Ovis aries (sheep). It matches the Rfam family "tRNA". Rfam says of the family: Transfer RNA (tRNA) molecules are approximately 80 nucleotides in length. Their secondary structure includes four short double-helical elements and three loops (D, anti-codon, and T loops). The record is from Rfam by way of RNAcentral. Lineage: Eukaryota; Metazoa; Chordata; Mammalia; Artiodactyla; Bovidae.
UCUCUGAUGGCCCAGUGGCUAAGACUCUGUGUUGCCAAUUCAGGGGACCCAGGUUCGAUCCCUGGCCAGGGAA